Molecule: ribosomal RNA, 631 nt
Filed under: Kocuria sp. MN 59
Lineage: Bacteria; Bacillati; Actinomycetota; Actinomycetes; Micrococcales; Micrococcaceae
Description: partial 16S ribosomal RNA
Source: RNAcentral
CCCCUACUGCACUCAAGUCUGCCCGUACCCACUGCACACCCGGAGUUAAGCCCCGGGCUUUCACAGCAGACGCGACAAACCGCCUACGAGCUCUUUACGCCCAAUAAUUCCGGACAACGCUUGCGCCCUACGUAUUACCGCGGCUGCUGGCACGUAGUUAGCCGGCGCUUCUUCUGCACGUACCGUCACUCUCGCUUCUUCCGUGCUGAAAGAGGUUUACAACCCGAAGGCCGUCAUCCCUCACGCGGCGUCGCUGCAUCAGGCUUCCGCCCAUUGUGCAAUAUUCCCCACUGCUGCCUCCCGUAGGAGUCUGGGCCGUGUCUCAGUCCCAGUGUGGCCGGUCACCCUCUCAGGCCGGCUACCCGUCGUCGCCUUGGUGAGCCAUUACCCCACCAACAAGCUGAUAGGCCGUGAGCCCAUCCAAAACCAGUAAAACCCUUUCCACAACACACCAUGCGAUGCGCCGUCGUAUCCAGUAUUAGACCCAGUUUCCCAGGCUUAUCCCAGAGUCAAGGGCAGGUUACUCACGUAUUACUCACCCGUUCGCCACUCAUCCACCCAGUGCAAGCACCAAGCUUCAGCGUUCGACUUGCAUGUGUUAAGCACGCCGCCAGCGUUCGUCUGAGCCAGG